UAGGGAAUAUUGCACAAUGGGGGAAACCCUGAUGCAGCGACGCCGCGUGAGUGAUGAAGGCCUUCGGGUCGUAAAGCUCUGUCGUAUGGGACUAACAAAAUGAAGGUACCAUGCAAGAAAGGAUCGGCUAACUUCGUGCCAGCAGCCGCGGUAAGACGAGGGAUCCUAGCGUUGUUCGGAAUUAUUGGGCGUAAAGCGGGUGUAGGCGGACUUAUAAGUCAGGUGUGAAAUCCCAGGGCUCAACCCUGGAAGUGCACUUGAUACUGCAAGUCUUGAGUGUGGUAGAGGCUAUUAGAAUUCCUGGUGUAGUGGUGAAAUACGUAGAUAUCAGGAGGAAUACCGGAGGCGAAGGCGGAUAGCUGGGCCAACACUGACGCUGAGACCCGAAAGCGUGGGGAUCAAACAGGAUUAGAUACCCGAGUAGUCCCUGAGCGGGCUGGCAAGGCGCAU
Molecule: ribosomal RNA, 450 nt
Filed under: uncultured bacterium
Lineage: Bacteria
Description: bacterial SSU rRNA
Rfam family: Bacterial small subunit ribosomal RNA
Source: RNAcentral